AUCCGGAUCGAGGACCGUGUGUGGUGGGUAGUUUGACUGGGGCGGUCUCCUCCCAAAGCGUAACGGAGGAGCACGAAGGUACCCUCAGCACGGUUGGAAAUCGUGCAUUGAGUGCAAGAGCAUAAGGGUGCUUGACUGCGAGACAGACACGUCGAGCAGGUACGAAAGUAGGUUCUAGUGAUCCGGUGGUUCUGUAUGGAAGGGCCAUCGCUCAACGGAUAAAAGGUACUCCGGGGAUAACAGGCUGAUACCGCCCAAGAGUUCACAUCGACGGCGGUGUUUGGCACCUCGAUGUCGGCUCAUCACAUCCUGGGGCUGAAGUCGGUCCCAAGGGUAUGGCUGUUCGCCAUUUAAAGUGGUACGCGAGCUGGGUUUAGAACGUCGUGAGACAGUUCGGUCCCUAUCUGCCGUGGGCGUUGGAAGUUUGAGAAGAGCUGCUCCUAGUACGAGAGGACCGGAGUGGACGCACCUCUGGUGUUCCGGUUGUCACGCCAGUGGCAUUGCCGGGUAGCUAUGUGCGGACAGGAUAACCGCUGAAAGCAUCUAAGCGGGAAGCCCCCUUCAAGAUGAGACUUCCCUGAGGCCU
This 586-nucleotide ribosomal RNA is filed under the name Halomonas mongoliensis. RNAcentral describes it as "partial 23S ribosomal RNA". It matches the Rfam family "Bacterial large subunit ribosomal RNA", at positions 2238 to 2823 of the family's 2925-position model. The record is from RNAcentral. Lineage: Bacteria; Pseudomonadati; Pseudomonadota; Gammaproteobacteria; Oceanospirillales; Halomonadaceae.